RNAcentral lists this ribosomal RNA (262 nucleotides) under uncultured bacterium. RNAcentral's name for it is "partial 16S ribosomal RNA". It matches the Rfam family "Bacterial small subunit ribosomal RNA", at positions 92 to 354 of the family's 1533-position model. The record is from RNAcentral.
UUAGUGGCGGACGGGUGAGUAACGCGUGGGUAACCUGCCUUACACAGGGGGAUAACACUUAGAAAUAGGUGCUAAAACCGCAUAAGCGCACAGCUUCGCAUGAAGCGGUGUGAAAAACUCCGGUGGUGUAAGAUGGACCCGCGUCUGAUUAGCUUGUUGGCGGGGUAACGGCCCACCAAGGCGACGAUCAGUAGCCGGCCUGAGAGGGCGGACGGCCACAUUGGGACUGAGAUACGGCCCAGACUCCUACGGAAGGCAGCAG